UACGAAGGGGGCUAGCGUUGUUCGGAAUUACUGGGCGUAAAGCGCACGUAGGCGGAUUUGUAAGUCCUGUGUGAAAUCCCCCGGCUCAACUGGGGAACUGCACAGGAGACUGCUUGGCUUGAGUUCGGGAGAGGGAAGCGGAAUUCCGGGUGUAGCGGUGAAAUGCGUAGAUAUCCGGAGGAACACCGGUGGCGAAGGCGGCUUCCUGGACCGACACUGACGCUGAGGCGCGAAAGCCAGGGGAGCAAACGGG
This 253-nucleotide ribosomal RNA is filed under the name uncultured bacterium. Its description in RNAcentral is "partial 16S ribosomal RNA". It matches the Rfam family "Bacterial small subunit ribosomal RNA", at positions 524 to 776 of the family's 1533-position model. The record is from RNAcentral.